GGUGUUACAGUGAACCCGUAUAUACGAAGAUUGCAUUUACCAUUUAUUCUGCUUGACUAAUUCUAUUAAUAAACAGCUGAAAAUAUAUUCAGUAGCCUAGUGUUAAAUUUUGUUCUGAUACCAGAAUUGAAUUGACGCAGCCCUAACAAUUGGUGACCCCAAAUGUGAUUCUGGUAGAAGGACUUCGCUGGAACUUGUCCGGCCGAUUGGCCAUCGCUCUCGUCGGACGAUGUGUUUCACAAAUCCUGACCGGUCAAACAAAAGGUAAGCAGACACCUAUUGUGAAUAACUAAAGUUCUGCAUAUUGGCAUUAUCCAAAUUUAUUUUGUGAAGCACCUGUUUGAUGUAAGUGAUUAAAUUGUGGAACGUCCACCUGUUAUAUUAAUAAUUUGAUUUUGAAACAAUUUUGAGAGUUGUGGUGUGAUAAAUGCAAUCUUGAAACCGAUCGAUCAUUGAUGAUAUAACAAGUGAAUGUAAUGUACUAGGUAUUGAAGUACCAAGUGUGUAUGUGGUUAGUCGGCGUACUUAACCGGAAUGAGUGUGGGUGGAUGUAGGUAUAACAGCGAUUGUAAUGUACUAGGUAUUGAAGUACCAAGUUUGAGUGUGGCUGUCAAGUCUGGGACUGGUAGCAAGACUGAAUGAAGAUUGGGAGGUCAACCUAAUCGUAUGACUGAAGUACAUUAGAUACUAGUCGGCGUACUGUAUCAAGUGUGAAUUAUCUACGGAUAAAGGCGUUAUACUGAGUAACCAUUGAAUGACUGAAGUACAUUGGGUAUUAAGUCGGCGUACUAAUACCAAGUUUGAGUGACCUGCGGGUAAAUAAGAGGUCGGGGACGGUCGACCUGAGUUAUAUCAUCUAGCGCUGGGGAAAUAAAUAACGUUAGGAACGUACGUUAGAGACGUAAAUUGACAUUGAUAGUUAGGUUACCAUAGACUGAAAUUGAAAGGGAUGUAAAUUAACAUUGAUAGUUAGGUUACCAUAGACUGAAAUUGAAAGGGAUGUAAAUUAACAUUGAUAGUUAGGUUACCAUAGACUGAAAUUGAAUAUGACCAACCAGGAGACCGAGAGGGUGCUGAAAGCACUGAAGUUAACACUAGAGAUUAAUGGGGGUAGAGACGGGAAAGAGUGGAAAAGGAGGGG
Molecule: non-coding RNA, 1141 nt
Organism: Salmo salar (Atlantic salmon)
Lineage: Eukaryota; Metazoa; Chordata; Actinopteri; Salmoniformes; Salmonidae
Source: RefSeq, a predicted model, not a curated record